GAAUAUGCCCCCUAGAGUUGUGC
This 23-nucleotide microRNA is filed under the name Pteropus alecto (black flying fox). RNAcentral describes it as "pal-miR-7140-3p". The record is from miRBase by way of RNAcentral. Lineage: Eukaryota; Metazoa; Chordata; Mammalia; Chiroptera; Pteropodidae.